Carya illinoinensis is the source of this 2840-nucleotide RNA transcript. It is a transcript of the gene named exocyst complex component EXO70A1-like, with no coding region annotated. Lineage: Eukaryota; Viridiplantae; Streptophyta; Magnoliopsida; Fagales; Juglandaceae. The record is from RefSeq and is a predicted model, not a curated record. The transcript has 13 exons.
GAGGUGUUGGACCCUAUAAAGUCCAAUUAUAUGGCUGAUUUCUGUUGGCCCAAAACCUCAAGGCCGUGACUCCGUCGUUCAGAAGUAAGACUAGAGCAGACGACAGGGGACCAGGUCACCAAACAAAACUCAAAAGCAAGCAUCCGCCGGAGAAAUCUCAAAUUUCUACAGUGCUCUGCUCCACGUCCACCCUCUCCUUCUUUUGACUUUUUACAAAGAAUCUCUCUUCUUGAUCUUUCAAACAAAGGAACAGAACAGGGUUAAGGAAACGAGGAGAAGAAGGGGAUGGGGGUAGCAGUGGUGGGCAUGGAUUCACUGAGCGAGAGAGCCGCUAUGAUGAGAGAGUCGCUGCAAAAGAGCCAGACCAUCACUGACAAAGUCGUCUCCAUACUUGGCUCCUUUGACCACCGCCUCUCUGCCCUCGAGACUGCCAUGCGUCCUACUCAGAUUAGAACACAUUCUAUUAGGAAAGCUCACGAGAAUAUCGACAAGACUUUGAAGGUUGCUGAGGUUUUACUGGCCCAAUUCGAUCUUUCUCGUCAGGCGGAGACAAAAAUACUUAGAGGGCCACAUGAGGACUUGGAGAGUUAUCUAGAAGCAAUCGGUCAACUAAGAGGCAACAUUCAGUUUUUUAGCAGCAAGAAAGGCUUUAAAAGUAAUGAUGGGGCGCUCAACAAUGCAAACAAUCUACUCGCAAAGGCUAUUUCAAAGCUAGAAGACGAGUUCAAGAAGCUAUUAUUGUCUUACAGUAAACCUGUGGAGCCUGAUCGUCUUUUCGAUGGCCUUCCAAACUCAUUGAGACCAUCUUCGGAAUCUCCUGGGCAUCAGGGCGACUCUAAUGGCAAGAAUCCUUCCAAUAACCACUCUGAGCACCAGAAAAGUAACUUAGAAAAUGCUGUUUACACUCCUCCAACCCUUAUACCACCACGGAUCCUACCAUUGCUUCAUGAUUUGGCUCAGCAAAUGGUUCAAGCUGGUCACCAACAGCAGUUACUCUUAAUUUACAGGGAUACCCGCUCUUCUGUUUUGGAAGAAAGCCUUCAAAAAUUGGGAGUUGAAAAGCUUAGCAAAGAAGAUGUUCAGAAGAUGCAAUGGGAGGUCUUAGAGGCCAAAAUUGGGAAUUGGAUUCACUUCAUGCGUAUUGCUGUCAAACUGCUUUUUGCUGGAGAGCGUAUAGUUUGUGAUCAAAUAUUUGAAGGCUUUGAUUCUCUCACUGAUCAGUGUUUUUCUGAGGUUACUUCAAGUAGUGUUUCGGUGCUACUUAGCUUUGGGGAUGCGAUUGCCAAAAGCAAGAGAUCCCCUGAGAAGUUAUUUGUACUUUUGGACAUGUAUGAGAUAAUGCGGGAGCUUCAUUCUGAGAUUGAGUUGAAAUUCAAGGGAAAAGCUUGCACUGAAAUAAGAGAAGCAGCCUUUGGUUUGACAAAACGGCUUGCACAGACAGCUCAAGAGACUUUUGGGGAUUUUGAAGAAGCUGUUGAAAAAGAUGCAACUAAAACUGCUGUAUUGGAUGGAACUGUCCAUCCUUUGACAAGUUAUGUCAUUAACUACGUGAAGUUUUUGUUCGACUACCAGUCAACCUUGAAGCAACUUUUCCAAGAAUUUGAUAACAAAGAUGGAACAGGUUCACAGUUGGCCUCUGUAACAAUGAGAAUAAUGCAGGCCCUUCAAACCAAUUUGGAUGGAAAAUCCAAGCAGUAUAAAGAUCUUGCUUUGACCCAUUUAUUUCUCAUGAAUAAUAUUCACUAUAUGGUCAGAUCUGUACGCAGGUCAGAGGCCAAGGAUUUGUUAGGGGAUGAUUGGGUGCAAAGACACAGGAGGAUAGUGCAGCAGCAUGCAAAUCAAUACAAAAGGAAUGGUUGGGCAAAGAUUCUUCAGUGCCUCUCCAUCCAAGGCCUAGCCUCGUCUGGGGGUGGGAGUUCAGUAGGUGUUGAUGGAGGAAAUAGUAGUGGAGUUUCAAGAGCGCUGGUCAAAGAGAGGUUCAAGACAUUCAAUAUGCAAUUUGAGGAACUUCAUCAAAAGCAAUCUCAGUGGGCAGUUCCUGACACUGAAUUGCGAGAGUCUCUCAGGCUUGCCGUUGCAGAAGUCUUGUUGCCGGCCUACAGAUCUUUUGUAAAACGUUUUGGGCCACUUAUUGAGAAUGGAAAGAACCCUCAAAAGUACAUCAAGUACUCGGCAGAGGAUCUUGAACGAAUGUUGGGUGAAUUUUUUGAGGGAAGGAACUUGAACGAACCCAGGCGGUAGAUUUGAACCAUUUCUCAGCGUGUUUCUGAUAAGGCCGACCAUUGACCUUUGGUAUGGUGGUACGUAUGUCACUCCUUUACUGGAGAGUCGCGGUUCAGUUAUGGUGGUCACAUGUAUGUGCCUCUGAGUGCUGGUGAAAAAAAAAAUAAAGAAAUCAGAUUAGAAUGUUUGCAUUUGCUUUGUAAAAUUCUGAAUAAUGGGGUAUCUGUCUCCAUUCUCUCCUAAGAGCUUCUUGUGCAGUUUGGUGUGGCAUUGUUCGAGGCUUGUACAUGUAAACAGAUACUUCGGUUUCAAAGUGUUCCGAAACAGCGUCCCGACUACUCCCGGAGGUGGACAGAUGAAUGUGGAUUCUUUUGCCGAAGGAAAACUAGCAAUGGUUAUUUGAAGAUUACAACCCUAAUUAUAUAUAGACACUAAAUGAUUACUUCCAAUUGUAAUGUUAGGGUUUUUUUUUUUUCAUCUUCGUAUUUUGUUAAUGAUAUAGGGACACUUUUUUUUAUAAGGUAUUUUACAAUCAUGUUUAAAAUUGAGGUAUUUAUGUAAAUUGAUGUUAUUUUUAUGAGUUAUUUUAUAAAAAUACUCCUUAUUUAAAACAUGCU